This 464-nucleotide ribosomal RNA is filed under the name uncultured bacterium. Its description in RNAcentral is "partial 16S ribosomal RNA". It matches the Rfam family "Bacterial small subunit ribosomal RNA", at positions 339 to 795 of the family's 1533-position model. The record is from RNAcentral.
CUACGGGGUGCUGCAGUGGGGAAUAUUGCACAAUGGGCGCAAGCCUGAUGCAGCCAUGCCGCGUGUAUGAAGAAGGCCUUCGGGUUGUAAAGUACUUUCAGCGGGGAGGAAGGGAGUAAAGUUAAUACCUUUGCUCAUUGACGUUACCCGUAGAAGAAGCACCGGCUAACUCCGUGCCAGCAGCCGCAGUAAUACGGAGGGUGCAAGCGUUAAUCGGAAUUACUGGGCGUAAAGCGCACGCAGGCGGUUUGUUAAGUCAGAUGUGAAAUCCCCGGGCUCAACCUGGGAACUGCAUCUGAUACUGGCAAGCUUGAGUCUCGUAGAGGGGGGUAGAAUUCCAGGUGUAGCGGUGAAAUGCGUAGAGAUCUGGAGGAAUACCGGUGGCGAAGGCGGCCCCCUGGACGAAGACUGACGCUCAGGUGCGAAAGCGUGGGGAGCAAACAGGAUUAGAUACCCGUGUAGUC